CAGCCGCCGCGGUAAUACGGAGGGAGCUAGCGUUGUUCGGAAUUACUGGGCGUAAAGCGCGCGUAGGCGGUUACUCAAGUCAGAGGUGAAAGCCCGGGGCUCAACCCCGGAACUGCCUUUGAAACUAGGUGACUAGAAUCUUGGAGAGGUCAGUGGAAUUCCGAGUGUAGAGGUGAAAUUCGUAGAUAUUCGGAAGAACACCAGUGGCGAAGGCGACUGACUGGACAAGUAUUGACGCUGAGGUGCGAAAGCGUGGGGAGCAAACAGGAUUAGAUACCCCGGUAGUCCCUGUCUCUUAUAC
RNAcentral lists this ribosomal RNA (301 nucleotides) under uncultured bacterium. RNAcentral describes it as "partial 16S ribosomal RNA". It matches the Rfam family "Bacterial small subunit ribosomal RNA", at positions 509 to 807 of the family's 1533-position model. The record is from RNAcentral.